This 439-nucleotide ribosomal RNA is filed under the name uncultured bacterium. Its description in RNAcentral is "partial 16S ribosomal RNA". It matches the Rfam family "Bacterial small subunit ribosomal RNA", at positions 338 to 795 of the family's 1533-position model. The record is from RNAcentral.
CCUACGGGUGGCAGCAGUAGGGAAUAUUGCUCAAUGGGGGAAACCCUGAAGCAGCAACGCCGCGUGGAGGAUGAAGGUUUUCGGAUUGUAAACUCCUUUUGUUAGAGAAGAUAAUGACGGUAUCUAACCAAUAAGCACCGGCUAACUUCGUGCCAGCAGCCGCGGUAAUACGGAGGGUGCAAGCGUUACUCGGAAUCACUGGCGUAAAGAGCGCGUUCGCGGGAUAGCAAGUCAGAUGUGAAAUCCUAUGGCUUAACCGUAGAAUUGCAUUUGAAAAUGUUAUUCUGGAGUAUAGGAGAGGUAGGUGGAAUUCGUGGUGUAGCGGUAAAAUGCGUAGAGAUCAAGAAGAAUACUCAUUGCGAAGGCGGCCUGCUAGAACAUAACUGACGCUGAUGCGCGAAAGCGUGGGGAGCAAACAGGAUUAGAUACCCUUGUAGUC